GACGAACGCUGGCGGCGUGCUUAACACAUGCAAGUCGAACGGAAAGGCCUGCUUUCCCUUGUGGAUUGCGGGUACUCGAGUGGCGAACGGGUGGGUAACACGUGAGUGAUCUGCCCCCAACUUGGGUAUAAGCCUGGGAAACUGGGUCUAAUUCCCGAUAGGACUGCAGGGUGGUGCCUGUGGUGGAAAACGAUUUUCUAGUGGUUGGGGAUGAGCUCGCGGCCUAUCAGCUUGUUGGUGGGGUAAUGGCCUACCAAGGCGGCGACGGGUAGCCGGCCUGGGAGGGUGGACGGCCACAUUGGGACUGAGAUACGGCCCAGACUCCUACGGGAGGCAGCAGUGGGGAAUAUAGCACAAUGGGCGGAAGCCUGAUGCAGCGACGCCGCGUGGGGGAUGACGGCCUUCGGGUUGUAAACUCCUUUCGACCGCGAGGAAGCCACCUGGUUGGAAGGGUGGUGACGGUAGUGGUAGAAGAAGCACCGGCUAACUACGU
Molecule: ribosomal RNA, 493 nt
Filed under: uncultured bacterium
Lineage: Bacteria
Description: partial 16S ribosomal RNA
Rfam family: Bacterial small subunit ribosomal RNA
Source: RNAcentral